This is a non-coding RNA of Salvelinus fontinalis (brook trout), 1581 nucleotides long. Lineage: Eukaryota; Metazoa; Chordata; Actinopteri; Salmoniformes; Salmonidae. The record is from the annotation of a RefSeq genome assembly.
GUCUUCACUUGCGGUAGUUUUUGUGCGUUGCACGUAUUGAAAGAUUGCACUGUGACUAUGCUUUUGACUACUGGGGGAAAGGCACAAUGGUUACCGUUUCAUCAGCUUCAACACCAACUGCUCCGACCUUGUUCCCUCUUGUGCAAUGUGGCUCCGGGACCGGAGAUAUGAUGACUCUGGGUUGCAUUGCCACUGGCUUCACGCCUGCCUCCCUCACCUUCAAAUGGAAUGAAGAAGGCGGGAAUUCCCUGACUGAUUUCGUUCAGUACCCUGCGGUCCAAACCGGUGGAAGCUACAUGGGAGUCAGUCAACUCCGUGUAAAGAGAGCAGACUGGGACAGUAAAACAUUUGAAUGCGCCGUGGAACAUUCAGCUGGUUCAAAGGAAGUAUCAGUGAAGAAACAAAUGGAAUAUCUGCAGCACCCGUCUCUUUACGUAAUGACCCCCUCUAAAGAGGAGAUGGCAGAAAAUAAGACGGCUUCCUUCGCCUGCUUUGCCCAUGACUUUUCACCCCGUACACACACAAUCACAUGGACGAGGACGGAAAAGGGAACAGAAAGGGAAGUUGUAUCUGACUUCAAGAGUUCUUGUGAGAGUGAGAAGAAGAGUGAGAAAACUCUGUACAGCUCAACCAGCUAUCUCAGGGUCAAUGAGAGUGAGUGGAAGAGUGAAGAAGUAACAUUCACUUGCGUCUUUAAGAACAAAGCUGGAAAUGUGAGGAGAACUGUGGGCUACACUUCAUCAGAUGCAGGUCCACCCCAUGAACAUUCAGUAGUCAUUAAGAUCACCCCGCCGUCUCUUGAGGAUAUGCUUAUGAACAAAAAAGCUGAGCUUGUGUGCAAUGUCGAUGAAGUAGUUCCUGGCUUCAUGAGCGUCAAAUGGGAAAAUGACAAUGGAAAGACCUUAACCAGCCGGAAGGGUGACACUGACAAAAUUGCCAUACUUGACAUCACUUAUGAGGACUGGAGCAAUGGGACAGUAUUCUACUGCGCUGUAGAUCACUUGGAAAACCUGGGGUCCUUGGUAAAGAAAGCCUACAAGAGGGAGACCGGAGGAGAUCCACAGCGUCCAUCUGUCUUUCUGCUGGCUCCAGCAGAACAAACUAGUGAUAAUACGGUGACCCUGACUUGCUACGUCAAAGACUUCUACCCCAAGGACGUUUUAGUGGCUUGGCUUGUUGACGAUGAGCCGGUGGAGAGAACGAUCAGUUCAGCAUUGUACCAAUUCAACACCACUAGCCAGAUUCAAUCAGGAAGGACCUACUCUGUCUACAGUCAGCUCACAAUUAGCAAUGACUUGUGGAAGAACAAAGAAGUGGUGUAUAGCUGUGUAGUUUACCACGAAAGCAUGAUCAAGUCCACAAAAAUGAUUAUGAGAACCAUUGACAGAACCUCAAACCAACCCAACCUAGUUAACCUCAGCUUGAAUGUGCCUCAGAGCUGCAAGGCCCAGUAGAGGUUGUGUUGUGUUUUGUUGAUGUGUGUUGCUGCAUGUUACCUCUGCUGUUUGUGUCAGUGACAUAACAUGUUGUGUGUCUUUUAAAUGCAGAAUUAAAAUAAAAAUAAAAACUUUCAAUCAUUAA